CCCCAGACUCCUACGGGAGGCAGCAGUGAGGAAUAUUGGUCAGUGGGCGGGAGCCUGAACCAGCCAAGUCGCGUGAGGGAAGACGGUCCUAUGGAUUGUAAACCUCUUUUGUCGGGGAGCAAAGAGGCCACGUGUGGUCAAAAGCGAGAGUACCCGAAGAAAAAGCAUCGGCUAACUCCGUGCCAGCAGCCGCGGUAAUACGGGGGAUGCAAGCGUUGUCCGGAAUCAUUGGGCGUAAAGAGUUCGUAGGUGGCACGUUAAGUCUGGUGUUAAAUGCAGAGGCUCAACCUCUGUUCGGCACUGGAUACUGGCGAGCUUGAAUGCGGUAGAGGUAAAGGGAAUUCCUGGUGUAGCGGUGAAAUGCGUAGAUAUCAGGAGGAACAUCGGUGGCGUAAGCGCUUUACUGGGCCGUAAUUGACACUGAGGAACGAAAGCCAGGGUAGCAAAUGGGAUUAGAUACCCUGGUA
RNAcentral lists this ribosomal RNA (467 nucleotides) under uncultured bacterium. RNAcentral's name for it is "bacterial SSU rRNA". It matches the Rfam family "Bacterial small subunit ribosomal RNA", at positions 329 to 792 of the family's 1533-position model. The record is from RNAcentral.